This 439-nucleotide ribosomal RNA is filed under the name uncultured bacterium. RNAcentral describes it as "partial 16S ribosomal RNA". It matches the Rfam family "Bacterial small subunit ribosomal RNA", at positions 339 to 795 of the family's 1533-position model. The record is from RNAcentral.
CUACGGGGGGCUGCGGUGAGGAAUAUUGCACAAUGGGGGGAACCCUGAUGCAGCAACGCCGCGUGGAGGAUGACGCAUUUCGGUGUGUAAACUCCUUUUAUAUGUCAAGAAAAUGACGGUAGCAUAUGAAUAAGCACCGGCUAACUCCGUGCCAGCAUCCGCGGUAAUACGGAGGGUGCAAGCGUUACUCGGAAUCACUGGGCGUAAAGGACGCGUAGGCGGGUUGGAAAGUCAGGUGUGAAAUCCUACAGCUUAACUGUAGAACUGCACUUGAAACUUCUAAUCUAGAGUAUGGGAGGGGGAGAUGGAAUUAGUGGUGUAGGGGUAAAAUCCGUAGAUAUCACUAGGAAUACCUAAAGCGAAGGCGAUCUCCUGGAACAUUACUGACGCUAAGGCGUGAAAGCGUGGGGAGCAAACAGGAUUAGAUACCCUAGUAGUC